This 497-nucleotide ribosomal RNA is filed under the name uncultured bacterium. RNAcentral's name for it is "partial 16S ribosomal RNA". It matches the Rfam family "Bacterial small subunit ribosomal RNA", at positions 28 to 507 of the family's 1533-position model. The record is from RNAcentral.
GAUGAACGCUGGCGGCGUGCCUAAUACAUGCAAGUCGAGCGAACAGACGAGGAGCUUGCUCCUCUGAUGUUAGCGGCGGACGGGUGAGUAACACGUGGAUAACCUACCUAUAAGACUGGGAUAACUUCGGGAAACCGGAGCUAAUACCGGAUAAUAUGUUGAACCGCAUGGUUCAAUAGUGAAAGACGGUCUUGCUGUCACUUAUAGAUGGAUCCGCACCGCAUUAGCUAGUUGGUAAGGUAACGGCUUACCAAGGCAACGAUGCGUAGCCGACCUGAGAGGGUGAUCGGCCACACUGGAACUGAGACACGGUCCAGACUCCUACGGGAGGCAGCAGUAGGGAAUCUUCCGCAAUGGGCGAAAGCCUGACGGAGCAACGCCGCGUGAGUGAAGAAGGUCUUCGGAUCGUAAAACUCUGUUAUUAGGGAAGAACAAAUGUGUAAGUAACUAUGCACGUCUUGACGGUACCUAAUCAGAAAGCCACGGCUAACUACGUG